CACGUAGGGGGCGAGCGUUGUCCGGAUUUAUUGGGCGUAAAGAGCUCGUAGGCGGCUAAGUAAGUCGGGUGUGAAAACUCCAGGCUCAACCUGGAGACGCCACCCGAUACUGCUUUGGCUAGAGUCCGGUAGGGGAGCAUGGGAAUUCCUGGUGUAGCGGUGAAAUGCGCAGAUAUCAGGAGGAACACCAGUGGCGAAGGCGGUGCUCUGGGCCGGAACUGACGCUGAGGAGCGAAAGCGUGGGGAGCAAACAGG
This 255-nucleotide ribosomal RNA is filed under the name uncultured bacterium. RNAcentral describes it as "partial 16S ribosomal RNA". It matches the Rfam family "Bacterial small subunit ribosomal RNA", at positions 524 to 776 of the family's 1533-position model. The record is from RNAcentral.